Molecule: ribosomal RNA, 262 nt
Filed under: uncultured bacterium
Lineage: Bacteria
Description: partial small subunit ribosomal RNA
Rfam family: Bacterial small subunit ribosomal RNA
Source: RNAcentral
AGAGCGAACGCUGGCGGCGUGCUUAACACAUGCAAGUCGAGUGCGCGCCUGUAGCAAUACAGGUGGCGCACGGCGCACGGGUGCGUAACACGUGGGUAAUCUGCCCUUCGAAGGGGAAUAACUCGCCGAAAGGCGAGCUAAUUCCGCAUAACAUUCCGAGAACUUCCGUUUUCGGAUUCAAAGGCGUAAGUCGUCGGAGGAGGAGCCCGCGCACGAUUAGCUAGUUGGUGAGGUAAUGGCUCACCAAGGCUAUGAUCGUUAG